This 199-nucleotide long non-coding RNA is filed under the name Elaeis guineensis (African oil palm). RNAcentral describes it as "long non-coding RNA (EGUI_LNC000927)". Lineage: Eukaryota; Viridiplantae; Streptophyta; Magnoliopsida; Arecales; Arecaceae. The record is from RNAcentral.
GGACGCUGUUUUGCCGGUGUUCAUUUUCGACAGACGACGGAGAGCUGGCUGCAACAGAUUGGUGCGCCAAGUAGGGGGGAAAGCAAUCGUAUUCACUAUGGCAAAAAUCAAAACCCAGUAUUCUACUGCUACCGGGUCAGCGAGACACUUUUUCCAUCGAGAAGAGGUUCCUCCCCCUCCUCUAAUAGUAGAGCCUAGU